CCUACGGGUGGCAGCAGUGAGGAAUAUUGGUCAAUGGGCGCGAGCCUGAACCAGCCAAGUAGCGUGAAGGAUGACUGCCCUACGGGUUGUAAACUUCUUUUAUAAAGGAAUAAAGUGAGGCACGAGUGCCAGUUUGGACGUACUUUAUGAAUAAGGAUCGGCUAACUCCGUGCCAGCAGCCGCGGUAAUACGGAGGAUCCGAGCGUUAUCCGGAUUCAUUGGGUUGAAAGUGCGCGUAGCUGGGUUGUUAAGUCCGUUGUGAAAGUUUGCGGCACAACCGUAAAAUUGCAAUUGAUACUGGCAGUCUUGAGUACAGUUGAGGUAGGCGGAAUUCGUGGUGUAGCGGUGAAAUGCAUAGAUAUCACGAAGAACUCCGAUUGCGAAGGCAGCUUACUAAACUGCCACUGACAUUGAUGCUCGAAAGUGUGGGUAUCAAACAGGAUUAGAUACCCGAGUAG
This 458-nucleotide ribosomal RNA is filed under the name uncultured bacterium. RNAcentral describes it as "partial 16S ribosomal RNA". It matches the Rfam family "Bacterial small subunit ribosomal RNA", at positions 338 to 793 of the family's 1533-position model. The record is from RNAcentral.